CCUACGGGUGGCAGCAGUGAGGAAUAUUGGUCAAUGGACGAGAGUCUGAACCAGCCAAGUAGCGUGAAGGAUGACUGCCCUAUGGGUUGUAAACUUCUUUUAUAUGGGAAUAAAACGUUCCACGUGUGGGAUUUUGUAUGUACCAUAUGAAUAAGGAUCGGCUAACUCCGUGCCAGCAGCCGCGGUAAUACGGAGGAUCCGAGCGUUAUCCGGAUUUAUUGGGUUUAAAGGGAGCGUAGGUGGAUUGUUAAGUCAGUUGUGAAAGUUUGCGGCUCAACCGUAAAAUUGCAGUUGAAACUGGCAGUCUUGAGUACAGUAGAGGUGGGCGGAAUUCGUGGUGUAGCGGUGAAAUGCUUAGAUAUCACGAAGAACUCCGAUUGCGAAGGCAGUUCACUGGACUGCAACUGACACUGAGGCUCGAGAGUGUGGGUAUCAAACAGGAUUAGAUACCCUAGUAGUC
Molecule: ribosomal RNA, 460 nt
Filed under: uncultured bacterium
Lineage: Bacteria
Description: partial 16S ribosomal RNA
Rfam family: Bacterial small subunit ribosomal RNA
Source: RNAcentral